AGUGAACGCUGGCGGUAUGCCUAACACAUGCAAGUCGAACGGCAGCACAGUAAGAUCUUGCUCUUACGGGUGGCGAGUGGCGGACGGGUGAGGAAUACAUCGGAAUCUACUUUUUCGUGGGGGAUAUCGUAGGGAAACUUACGCUAAUACCGCAUACGACCUACGGGUGAAAGCAGUGGUUCAUCGGACCUUGCGCGAUUGAUUGAGCCGAUGUCGGAUUAGCUAGUUGGCGGGGUAAAGGCCCACCAAGGCGACGAUACGUAGCUGGUCUGAGAGGAUGAUCAGCCACACUGGAACUGAGACACGGUCCAGACUCCUACGGGAGGCAGCAGUGGGGAAUAUUGGGCAAUGGGCGCAAGCCUGACCCAGCCAUACCGCGUGAGUGAAGAAGGCCUUCGGGUUGUAAAGCCCUUUUGUUGGGAAAGAAAAUCAGUAGGUUAAUACCCCGCUGUUCUGACGGUACCCAAAGAAUAAGCACCGGCUAACUUCGUG
This 492-nucleotide ribosomal RNA is filed under the name uncultured bacterium. RNAcentral's name for it is "partial 16S ribosomal RNA". It matches the Rfam family "Bacterial small subunit ribosomal RNA", at positions 29 to 507 of the family's 1533-position model. The record is from RNAcentral.